GACGAACGCUGGCGGCGUGCUUAACACAUGCAAGUCGAACGGAAAGGCCCUGCUUUUGUGGGGUGCUCGAGUGGCGAACGGGUGAGUAACACGUGAGUAACCUGCCCUUGACUUUGGGAUAACUUCAGGAAACUGGGGCUAAUACCGGAUAGGAGCUCCUGCUGCAUGGUGGGGGUUGGAAAGUUUCGGCGGUUGGGGAUGGACUCGCGGCUUAUCAGCUUGUUGGUGGGGUAGUGGCUUACCAAGGCUUUGACGGGUAGCCGGCCUGGGAGGGUGACCGGCCACAUUGGGACUGAGAUACGGCCCAGACUCCUACGGGAGGCAGCAGUGGGGAAUAUUGCACAAUGGGCGGAAGCCUGAUGCAGCAACGCCGCGUGCGGGAUGACGGCCUUCGGGUUGUAAACCGCUUUCGCCUGUGACGAAGCGUGAGUGACGGUAAUGGGUAAAGAAGCAACGGCUAACUACGUG
RNAcentral lists this ribosomal RNA (468 nucleotides) under uncultured bacterium. Its description in RNAcentral is "partial 16S ribosomal RNA". It matches the Rfam family "Bacterial small subunit ribosomal RNA", at positions 28 to 507 of the family's 1533-position model. The record is from RNAcentral.